This 253-nucleotide ribosomal RNA is filed under the name uncultured bacterium. RNAcentral describes it as "partial 16S ribosomal RNA". It matches the Rfam family "Bacterial small subunit ribosomal RNA", at positions 524 to 776 of the family's 1533-position model. The record is from RNAcentral.
UACGAGGGGUGCAAACGUUAUUCGGAUUUAUUGGGUGUAAAGGGUGCGUAGACGGUGUAUUAAGUUUGUUGUUAAAUCUCUUGGCCUAACUGAGAGCUUGCAAUGAAAACUGAUAUGCUUGAGUGUGGAAGAGAGAAGUGGAAUUCUCGGAGUAGCGGUAAAAUGCGUAGAUCUCGAGAGGAACACCGAUGGCGAAGGCAGCUUCUUGGUCCAUUACUGACGUUGAGGCACGAAAGCGUGGGGAGCAAACAGG